ACGCUCGACACCUACGGGGGCAGCAGUCGGGAAUAUUGCGCAAUGGAGGAAACUCUGACGCAGUGACGCCGCGUGCAGGAAGAAGGUUUUCGGAUUGUAAACUGCUUUAGACAGGGAAGAAAGAAAUGACAGUACCUGUAGAAUAAGCUCCGGCUAACUACGUGCCAGCAGCCGCGUAUCUGAGGCGGCGUGGACGAAGGC
This 201-nucleotide ribosomal RNA is filed under the name uncultured bacterium. Its description in RNAcentral is "partial 16S ribosomal RNA". It matches the Rfam family "Bacterial small subunit ribosomal RNA", at positions 328 to 538 of the family's 1533-position model. The record is from RNAcentral.